UCUCAAAUCUCUUCUCCUCCCUCAUGUCGAUCUCUCUAUUUAAUCCAUCAACAUAUAGCAAGAAAACUUCAUGUGCCGUGUCGAUCUCUCAAUCCACCUCCUCCUUUGCCCUAUCAAGAGGGUUUUUGGUUCUCUCUAUCGGCUAUGUCUGAGAAUUUAUGGUAUCGUUUGAAAAAGUCUCACGAUCUGUUUAUACUCAGUUGUUCUAAAUCGUUGGCUUCGAACUAAGAAGCUUCUCCAAUCCACAAUUUCUGUAAAGGUACCCACUUCUCUUCUCAUCAAUUAAAUCCAUCGAAUAUACCAUAUAAUUUGUAAUUGAGUUUAGCUGAAGAACUAAGAAGCUUUUGCUCAAUAAGUACUUGAUAAAAGUCCUGACUGAAGAGCUUGAUAUGAUUUUAUUGCGA
This 404-nucleotide long non-coding RNA is filed under the name Panax ginseng (ginseng). Its description in RNAcentral is "long non-coding RNA (PGIN_LNC007652)". The record is from RNAcentral. Lineage: Eukaryota; Viridiplantae; Streptophyta; Magnoliopsida; Apiales; Araliaceae.